RNAcentral lists this ribosomal RNA (383 nucleotides) under uncultured bacterium. RNAcentral describes it as "bacterial SSU rRNA". It matches the Rfam family "Bacterial small subunit ribosomal RNA", at positions 28 to 412 of the family's 1533-position model. The record is from RNAcentral.
GACGAACGCUGGCGGCGUGCUUAACACAUGCAAGUCGAGCGGUAAGGCCCUUUCGGGGGUACACGAGCGGCGAACGGGUGAGUAACACGUGGGUGACCUGCCCUCAGCUCCGGGAUAAGCCUGGGAAACCGGGUCUAAUACUGGAUAUGACUCCAUGACGCAUGUUGUGGGGUGGAAAGCCUUGUGCGGCUGAGGAUGGGCCCGCGGCCUAUCAGCUUGUUGGUGGGGUGAUGGCCUACCAAGGCGACGACGGGUAGCCGGCCUGAGAGGGCGACCGGCCACACUGGGACUGAGACACGGCCCAGACUCCUACGGGAGGCAGCAGUGGGGAAUCUUGCGCAAUGGGCGAAAGCCUGACGCAGCGACGCCGCGUGAGGGAUGAC